RNAcentral lists this ribosomal RNA (233 nucleotides) under uncultured bacterium. RNAcentral's name for it is "partial 16S ribosomal RNA". It matches the Rfam family "Bacterial small subunit ribosomal RNA", at positions 118 to 347 of the family's 1533-position model. The record is from RNAcentral.
UGAGUAACCUGCCCUUAACUCUGGGAUAAGCCUGGGAAACUGGGUCUAGUACCGGAUAUGACUCCUCAUCGCAUGGUGGGGGGUGGAAAGCUUUAUUGUGGUUUUGGAUGGACUCGCGGCCUAUCAGCUUGUUGGUGAGGUAAUGGCUCACCAAGGCGACGACGGGUAGCCGGCCUGAGAGGGUGACCGGCCACACUGGGACUGAGACACGGCCCAGACUCCUACGGGAGCAG